AGUGAACGCUGGCGGUAGGCCUAACACAUGCAAGUCGAACGGAAGCACAGUAAGAGCUUGCUCUUACGGGUGGCGAGUGGCGGACGGGUGAGGAAUACAUCGGAAUCUACUAUUUCGGGGGGGAUAACGUAGGGAAAGUUACGCUAAUAGCGCAUACGACCUACGGGUGAAAGCAGGGGAUCUUCGGACCUUGCGCGAUUGUAUGAGCCGAUGUCGGAUUAGCUAGUUGGGGGGGUAAGGGCCCACCAAGGCGACGAUCCGUAGCUGGGCUGAGAGGAUGAUCAGCCACACUGGAACUGAGACACGGUCCAGACUCCUACGGGAGGCAGCAGUUGGGAAUAUUGGACAAUGGGCGCAAGCCUGAUCCAGCCAUACCGCGUGGGUGAAGAAGGCCUUCGGGUUGUAAAGCCCUUUUGUUGGGAAAGAACAGCAGCAGGUUAAUACCCCGCUGUUCUGACGGUACCCAAAGAAUAAGCACCGGCUAACUUCGUG
This 492-nucleotide ribosomal RNA is filed under the name uncultured bacterium. RNAcentral's name for it is "partial 16S ribosomal RNA". It matches the Rfam family "Bacterial small subunit ribosomal RNA", at positions 29 to 507 of the family's 1533-position model. The record is from RNAcentral.